This 228-nucleotide long non-coding RNA is filed under the name Homo sapiens (human). RNAcentral describes it as "HSALNT0300323". The record is from RNAcentral. Lineage: Eukaryota; Metazoa; Chordata; Mammalia; Primates; Hominidae.
CCCGGAGCUGCUUCUGAUUACCGCGAGGGGCCCGGACGCGAGAGCCGCCGCGGGGCCUGCCCUAGAGGCGGAGUGAUGAACUGUGGCUUCCCCCCUGCGGUGCUGAACUCGCCCGUGUAGCUGUGAUUUUAGAGCUGCCGACAGCUCUAAGCUGGGCUCGCGCCCCGCCCACCCCGCGGGGAUUGGCUGCGAACGCGGAAGAACCAAGCCCACGCCCCGCGCCCGCGC